GGAAGCACAAGGAACAUGAAGCAAUGGGCUUGGAGAGGUCCCUGGGGGCUGUGAGAGGUGGGAAUUAACAUCAUUGCUAAUUUGCUUUUUUUCUCAACAGGGAUGGCAAAAUUCAUGGGUGUCAGUCACUGGUAUGAUGGAAGACGGAUCCUGUCAGAAACAUGUCCAUGUGGUCUGCUUGGCCAAGACAUUUACAGGAGCAUAAGCAACUCACGCAAGCUGGAAAGCCUUUACCAAUCAUUCCCAAACACAGAAAUAUGUGCCUGCAACGUGGCGCUUUUUAGAACAGCAUCCUCUCAGAUGGUGGAGAAUCCAUCACAGCCUGGGGUGAGUAAUUCCAAUGGCUCAUUACUCUUUCAAUUACAAACUGGCACCUUCCUUGCAGUUUGAAUUUGUCUAAUUUUGGCUUCCAGCCAUUGGAUGUUGGU
Molecule: long non-coding RNA, 428 nt
Filed under: Calidris pugnax (ruff)
Lineage: Eukaryota; Metazoa; Chordata; Aves; Charadriiformes; Scolopacidae
Description: lncRNA (ENSCPUG00000004154.1)
Source: RNAcentral